UGGGGAAUUUUGGACAAUGGGCGCAAGCCUGAUCCAGCCAUGCCGCGUGAGUGAAGAAGGCCUUCGGGUUGUAAAGCUCUUUCGGCGGGGACGAAACGGUCCGUGACAACACCACGGACUAAUGACGGUACCCGCAGAAGAAGCACCGGCUAACUACGUGCCAGCAGCCGCGGUAAUACGUAGGGUGCAGGCGUUAAUCGGAAUUACUGGGCGUAAAGCGUGCGUAGGCGGUUUGUUAAGACAGGUGUGAAAUCCCCGGGCUUAACCUGGGAACUGCGCUUGUUACUGGCAGACUUGAGUGUGGCAGAGGGGGGUGGAAUUCCAGGUGUAGCAGUGAAAUGCGUAGAUAUCUGGAGGAACACCGAUGGCGAAGGCAGCCCCCUGGGCUAACACUGACGCUGAUGCACGAAAGCGUGGGGAGCAAAC
This 426-nucleotide ribosomal RNA is filed under the name uncultured bacterium. Its description in RNAcentral is "bacterial SSU rRNA". It matches the Rfam family "Bacterial small subunit ribosomal RNA", at positions 355 to 773 of the family's 1533-position model. The record is from RNAcentral.